MicroRNA precursor from Oryza rufipogon (brownbeard rice), 190 nucleotides. It matches the Rfam family "MIR812 microRNA precursor family". The record is from Rfam. NCBI's taxonomy places the organism in Eukaryota, Viridiplantae, Streptophyta, Magnoliopsida, Poales, Poaceae.
UUUUUAUGUAACCGUAAGUUUUCGUGUGCAACUUUGACCAUCUGUCUUAUUUAAAUUUUUCUUAUUAUUAUAAGAUGAUAAAACAUGAAUAACACUUUAUACGUGACUUAUGUUCUCAAAUUUUUUCAAAACUUUUUUAAAUAAGACGGACGGUCAAAGUUGGGCACGGAAAAUCAUGGCUGCACUUAUA